UGCAAGUCGAACGGUGAAGCCCAGCUUGCUGGGUGGAUCAGUGGCGAACGGGUGAGUAACACGUGAGCAACCUGCCCUCCACUUCGGGAUAAGCCUUGGAAACGGGGUCUAAUACCGGAUAUGAGCAUCUGCCGCAUGGUGGGUGUUGGAAAGUUUUUCGGUGGAGGAUGGGCUCGCGGCCUAUCAGCUUGUUGGUGGGGUGAUGGCCUACCAAGGCGUCGACGGGUAGCCGGCCUGAGAGGGCGACCGGCCACACUGGGACUGAGACACGGCCCAGACUCCUACGGGAGGCAGCAGUGGGGAAUAUUGCACAAUGGGCGAAAGCCUGAUGCAGCGACGCCGCGUGAGGGAUGACGGCCUUCGGGUUGUAAACCUCUUUCAGCAGGGAAGAAGGCUUCGGUUGACGGUACCUGCAGAAGAAGCGCCGGCUAACUACGUGCCAGCAGCCGCGGUAAUACGUAGGGCGCAAGCGUUGUCCGGAAUUAUUGGGCGUAAAGAGCUCGUAGGCGGUCUGUCGCGUCUGGUGUGAAAACCCGAGGCUCAACCUCGGGCUUGCAUCGGGUACGGGCAGACUAGAGUGCGGUAGGGGAGACUGGAAUUCCUGGUGUAGCGGUGGAAUGCGCAGAUAUCAGGAGGAACACCGAUGGCGAAGGCAGGUCUCUGGGCCGCAACUGACGCUGAGGAGCGAAAGCAUGGGGAGCGAACAGGAUUAGAUACCCUGGUAGUCCAUGCCGUAAACGUUGGGCACUAGGUGUGGGGCUCAUUCCACGAGUUCCGUGCCGCAGCUAACGCAUUAAGUGCCCCGCCUGGGGAGUACGG
This 819-nucleotide ribosomal RNA is filed under the name Isoptericola sp. M46-11. RNAcentral describes it as "bacterial SSU rRNA". It matches the Rfam family "Bacterial small subunit ribosomal RNA", at positions 56 to 885 of the family's 1533-position model. The record is from RNAcentral. Lineage: Bacteria; Bacillati; Actinomycetota; Actinomycetes; Micrococcales; Promicromonosporaceae.